GAGUUUGAUCAUGGCUCAGAACGAACGCUGGCGGCAUGCCUAACACAUGCAAGUCGAACGAGACCUUCGGGUCUAGUGGCGCACGGGUGCGUAACGCGUGGGAACCUGCCCUUAGGUUCGGAAUAACUCCUCGAAAGGGGUGCUAAUACCGGAUAAUGUCUUCGGACCAAAGAUUUAUCGCCUUUGGAUGGGCCCGCGUUGGAUUAGCUAGUUGGUGGGGUAAAGGCCUACCAAGGCGACGAUCCAUAGCCGGCCUGAGAGGAUGAUCAGCCACACUGGGACUGAGACACGGCCCAGACUCCUACGGGAGGCAGCAGUGGGGAAUAUUGGACAAUGGGCGAAAGCCUGAUCCAGCCAUGCCGCGUGAGUGAUGAAGGCCUUAGGGUUGUAAAGCUCUUUCAGUAGGGAAGAUAAUGACGGUACCUACAGAAGAAGCCCGGCUAACUUCGUGCCAGCAGCCGCCGCGGUAAG
This 471-nucleotide ribosomal RNA is filed under the name uncultured Alphaproteobacteria bacterium. RNAcentral describes it as "bacterial SSU rRNA". It matches the Rfam family "Bacterial small subunit ribosomal RNA", at positions 9 to 524 of the family's 1533-position model. RNAcentral also lists the same sequence under 1 other name. Lineage: Bacteria; Pseudomonadati; Pseudomonadota; Alphaproteobacteria. The record is from RNAcentral.